RNAcentral lists this long non-coding RNA (1828 nucleotides) under Coffea arabica (coffee). Its description in RNAcentral is "long non-coding RNA (CARA_LNC002005)". Lineage: Eukaryota; Viridiplantae; Streptophyta; Magnoliopsida; Gentianales; Rubiaceae. The record is from RNAcentral.
GAAGAUAAAAAGGUGUAUUGGAAAUUGUAAAGAUGAUGUAAGCAAAUAAAAUUGGGGAAAUAUGAAGCAAUCCAAACAAACGUUUAAUGCUAGUCCGUCUAUUGCCUAAUAAUUAACUAAAAUAACGACUAAAUAUAACUAAAUCAUAAGCUGGAAAAUUCGGCUUUCAUUUCUCUUGUUUAUUCGUGACUUGAACUAGGUUAACUAAAGAUGAACUCCCUUCAUUAAUCUCUAUGAUCAUGCUCGGCAUUCCAAUCGAGUCUUGAACAGCUCGAACUAUCGCUUGGACGACUCUUGAAGUUUCUUGGCACGAGCGUGCGUCAUUGGAUCCACUGGAAUGUUCAUGGAAUCGACUUGAGCACGUUGAGCAUCUUGGACAGCUUGCGCGGCUUCAUCAUAACCCAUUUUUGCUUUGUAUAAAUUUUGCAUGAAGCAAUAAACAAAAUGAGAUGCAAUUAACGAAAAAUGGUGCCAAGCUCAAUACACUUUAUUGUUAUUAUUAUUAUUUUCUUUUUGUGUUAGUUUUUUGGACUAACAUUCAUGUAAACAUACCUACUACCUAGCAGAUUGCCAUAUUGACACGAAACAAAGGAUUCCUUUCUAGAAAAGAAGAAGAAAAGCAUUGGCAUAAGAAACAAAAUCCUGUGGUUUGGUAUAGUUGCAGACUGUAAAACGGUUUUAGCCUGUGGUUUAAAUCACGGAUAUAGUUGCAGAGCAUAAAAUGAAUUAGUUGCAUACCAUAAAACGAUAUUAUACCUGAAAGGGUUCGACUCGACUCGAACAUGAUUAGUAAAAGAAUGUGGAAUCCUGUUGUUUAGAAGAAAAAAAACAUAAAAUCUAUCAAAUAUAUGAUCGUCACAAGUAUCAUUUUUGGGCAUUCCUGAUUUUAGGCAUUGUUUGAUAAUCCAAUUUAGCACUUAAAUUUAAAAAAUUUAGCAAAAAAUUGAAUAUUUGAAUUAAUUAAAUGGCAAUGAAUUUUUAACCAAAACUUGCUUCAAAAAUUUAAAUUUAUCACUUAUUGUGAUAUAUACUCAAGUGUAUUAAAUUUAAUACUUAACAAUUCAAUAAUUUAAUGGAUUCAAAUUUCAGAUUUCAGAUUCAUGCCUUGUUUGAUAACCCAAAUCAGUAUUUAAACUUAAUGGAUUUCGAUUUUAACAUGUUCAGGCGUGUUUGACAACAAAAAAUUGAACAUCCGAAUUAAUUAAGUGACACUAAAUUUUUUAGACAAAACAUGCGCAUAAAAAUAGGUGAUAAACUAUCCACUUAUCAGGUAAUGUGAUAUACACUAAAAUGUAUCAGAUUUAGUAUUUUACAAUUCAAUAACUUAAUGGAUUUAUAUUUCAGUGACACUGAAUUUUUUAGGUAAAACUUGCUGCUAAAAAUAAGUGAUAAAUUAUUUACUUAUCAGUUAAUGUGAUAUACACUUAAAGGUAUGAGAUUUAAUAUUUAACAAUUCAAUAACUUAAUGGAUUCAUAUUUUAAAUUUCAAAUUUUAAAUUAUAGUUUUCAGAUUUCAAUUUUAUUAAAUGAACUGUCACACUUCAAUUUUUAAAUUUCAAUUUUAUCCGACGCAUCUUACUUUAGCUUCAUAUUCACCUGCCAUGUUGUAUUUAUCGUGUUUUAGGCUUAGAAACACUGCACCAAGAAAUAGAACAAGAAGAAAUAAAGAAAAUUAUGCUAGUACUCACAAAAAAUGUACAUGCCAUUCCGUUCUUGACUCAACCCUCGUGCUAUUUUGUAUUUGUCUUGGUUUAGGCUUAGAAAAACUGCACCCAGGAAUAGAACAACAAGAAAUAAGGAAAAAUUAUGCUAGUACUCACAAAAAAAA